RNAcentral lists this ribosomal RNA (794 nucleotides) under uncultured Staphylococcus sp. RNAcentral describes it as "bacterial SSU rRNA". It matches the Rfam family "Bacterial small subunit ribosomal RNA", at positions 92 to 872 of the family's 1533-position model. The record is from RNAcentral. Lineage: Bacteria; Bacillati; Bacillota; Bacilli; Caryophanales; Staphylococcaceae.
GUAGCGGCGGACGGGUGAGUAACACGUGGAUAACCUACCUAUAAGACUGGGAUAACUUCGGGAAACCGGAGCUAAUACCGGAUAAUAUUUUGAACCGCAUGGUUCAAAAGUGAAAGACGGUCUUGCUGUCACUUAUAGAUGGAUCCGCGCUGCAUUAGCUAGUUGGUAAGGUAACGGCUUACCAAGGCAACGAUGCAUAGCCGACCUGAGAGGGUGAUCGGACACACUGGAACUGAGACACGGUCCAGACUCCUACGGGAGGCAGCAGUAGGGAAUCUUCCGCAAUGGGCGAAGGCCUGACGGAGCAACGCCGCGUGAGUGAUGAAGGUCUUCGGAUCGUAAAACCUCUGUUAUUAGGGAAGAACAUAUGUGUAAGUAACUGUGCACAUCUUGACGGUACCUAAUCAGAAAGCCACGGCUAACUACGUGCCAGCAGCCGCGGUAAUACGUAGGUGGCAAGCGUUAUCCGGAAUUAUUGGGCGUAUAAGCGCGCGUAGGCGGUUUUUUAAGUCUGAUGUGAAAGCCCACGGCUCAACCGUGGAGGGUCAUUGGAAACUGGAAACUUGAGUGCAGAAGUAGGAAAGUGGAAUUCCAUGUGUAGCGGUGAAAUGCGCAGAGAUAUGGAGGAACACCAGUGGCGAAGGCGACUUUCUGGUCUGUAACUGUACGCUGAUGUGCGAAAGCGUGGGGAUCAAACAGGAUUAGAUACCCUGGUAGUCCACGCCGUAAACGAUGAGUGCUAAGUGUAGGGGGUUUCCGCCCCGUAUGCUGCAGCUACGCAUUAAGCACUCCGC